GCGACACCAGCACUUUCAGAGGAGAAAACUGAAGAAUCAGUUAAGGCAGAAGAGACUCCUGUGGAAGAGGUGGCGGCCGCACCACCUACACCAGAGCCUGUUGCUGAGGAGCCAAAGGAAGCAGAAACUGCAGCUGUGCCCGAGGAAUCUGCGGCUCCAGAAGCUGAAGCCCCUGCUGAUCAGGAUGAGACCAAGGAGGUGGUAGAACAAGUUGAGGUUGAGACCAAGGAGGUGGUGGAAAAAACUGAUCAGGCUGUGGUGGAAGAACCAGCGGUAGAGAAGACAGAAGAGGUCCCAGAGGAGACUCCUGAUCAGGAAACAAACAGCCCAGUUGUGGAGGAAACCAAAGAAGCUACAGAACCAGCUGAGGAACCAGCACCAAAACCAGAACCAGCACCUGCAGAUGAAGCUCCAAAAGAAGAAGGUCCUGCUGCAGAAGAAGAAGAGAAACCAGCUGAAGCUAAAGUGAAAGUUGAGACAGAUGAGAAGGCUGAGUGAUGAGUCUAUGAGUGUAUGGCCGAGUGAAAUUAAAAGUUUGUGUGAUGAGGGGUCUGCUAGGUUGCAUGUCUAGUUAAAGGAGUAUUAAUUUUCUUAGUAUAAUGAGGAAGGUUGAGGUGGAUGGAGCUUGAAAUCAAGGUAUGGGGAUGACCCACAUUGAU
This 659-nucleotide long non-coding RNA is filed under the name Vitis vinifera (wine grape). Its description in RNAcentral is "long non-coding RNA (VVIN_LNC003709)". Lineage: Eukaryota; Viridiplantae; Streptophyta; Magnoliopsida; Vitales; Vitaceae. The record is from RNAcentral.